Molecule: ribosomal RNA, 440 nt
Filed under: uncultured bacterium
Lineage: Bacteria
Description: bacterial SSU rRNA
Rfam family: Bacterial small subunit ribosomal RNA
Source: RNAcentral
GAACGGCAGCAUGAUCUACCGGACCAAACCGAGGGCCGAGUGGCGAACGGGUGAGUAAUACAUCGGAACGUGCCCAAUAGUGGGGGAUAACGAAUCGAAAGAUGAGCUAAUACCGCAUAAGACCUAAGGAUGAAAGCAGGGGACCGCAAGACCUCAUGCGAGAAUGGAGCGGCCGAUGGCAGAUUAGCUAGUUGGUGAGGUAAAGGCCCACCAAGCCGACGAUCAGUAGCUGGUCUGAGAGGACGACCAGCCACACUGGGACUGAGACACGGCCCAGACUCCUACGGGAGGCAGCAGUGGGGAAUUUUGGACAAUGGGCGAAACCCUGAUCCAGCAAUGCCGCGUGCAGGAAGAAGGCCUUCGGGUUGUAAACCACUUUUGUACGGAAAGAAAACGCACUUACUAAUAAAAAGGUGAGGAUGACGGUACCCGUAAGAAUA